UGAUUUUGUAAACCUUGCGGUGCCCUGGCUGGUCAGUCCUGCCGGGCUUAAAAGGGAAUCCGGUGAAAAUCCGGAACAGUUCCCGCUGCUGUAAUCCCCUUCCGGUCUUCGGACCGGAACAUCACAGUCUGCAGAGAGAGCCACUGUCGCGCACCCCGCGCAACGGGAAGGCCUGCAGACCGGGGGAGAGUCAGAAGACCUGCCGUAAUGGAGAAUGCUUC
RNAcentral lists this non-coding RNA (221 nucleotides) under Prosthecochloris aestuarii. The record is from RNAcentral. Lineage: Bacteria; Pseudomonadati; Chlorobiota; Chlorobiia; Chlorobiales; Chlorobiaceae. RNAcentral also lists the same sequence under 1 other name.